This 83-nucleotide transfer RNA is filed under the name archaeon. RNAcentral describes it as "tRNA-Leu". It matches the Rfam family "tRNA". From Rfam's summary of the family: Transfer RNA (tRNA) molecules are approximately 80 nucleotides in length. Their secondary structure includes four short double-helical elements and three loops (D, anti-codon, and T loops). The record is from RNAcentral.
GCGGGGGUGGCGGAGCGGUCAAACGCGUCAGACUCAAGAUCUGAUCCCUAGUGGGUUCGUCGGUUCAAAUCCGGCCCCCCGCA